This 369-nucleotide long non-coding RNA is filed under the name Nicotiana benthamiana. RNAcentral describes it as "long non-coding RNA (NBEN_LNC016984)". Lineage: Eukaryota; Viridiplantae; Streptophyta; Magnoliopsida; Solanales; Solanaceae. The record is from RNAcentral.
AAAGCUCUUCAAGACAGUAAUUUCCUCCAAAUCAUUACCAGUGAGAAUAAUAUUAUCAACAUAGACAGCCAACAAUACAAUAGAAGAGGCAGAUUUCAUAAGAAAAAGGGACCUCUUCAAGGAAGUAAUUUCCUCAAAAUCAUUACCAGUGAGAAUAAUAUCAUCAACAUAGACAGUCAACAACACAAUAAAAGAGGCAGAUUUCUUAAGAAAAAGGGAAUAAUCAUUGAAAGAAGAAGAAUAGCCCCUAGAACAUAAGGCUUGAGACAACUUGGCAUACCACUGCCUAGAAGCUUCUCUCAAACCAUAUAAGGAUUUCUUAAGAAGUCAAACCAAAGGAGAAGAAGAGGAAGCACAGUUGACUGUCAG